This 439-nucleotide ribosomal RNA is filed under the name Vicia sepium. Its description in RNAcentral is "eukaryotic LSU rRNA". The stretch from base 299 to 439 matches the Rfam family "Eukaryotic large subunit ribosomal RNA", at positions 1 to 141 of the family's 3401-position model. The record is from RNAcentral. Lineage: Eukaryota; Viridiplantae; Streptophyta; Magnoliopsida; Fabales; Fabaceae.
UGCAGAAUCCCGUGAACCAUCGAGUCUUUGAACGCAAGUUGCGCCCGAUGCCAUUAGGUUGAGGGCACGUCUGCCUGGGUGUCACAUAUCGAAGCCUCCUGCCAAUUUCCCUUUGAUUAUUGUGCAGGGUGGAUGUUGGCCUCCCGUGAACUCUUUUUGGUCAUGGUUGGUUGAAAAUUGAGACCUUGGUAGGGUGUGCCAUGAUAGAUGGUGGUUGUGUGAUCCACGAGACCAAUCAUGUGCUGCUCUAUUAAAUAUGGCCUCUUUUACCCAUAUGCGUUUCUAAACGCUCGUGAUGAGACCUCAGGUCAGGCGGGGCUACCCGCUGAAUUUAAGCAUAUCAAUAAGCGGAGGAAAAGAAACUAACAAGGAUUCCCUUAGUAACGGCGAGCGAACCGGGAUAAGCCCACCAUGAGAAUCGGUCGCCCUCGGCGUUCGA